Molecule: long non-coding RNA, 6183 nt
Filed under: Malus domestica (apple)
Lineage: Eukaryota; Viridiplantae; Streptophyta; Magnoliopsida; Rosales; Rosaceae
Description: long non-coding RNA (MDOM_LNC019792)
Source: RNAcentral
AUGGCCGUAAGGGUCGAGUGUCGACUGAGUUUUGAAAAGCAGGAGGACUAAAAGUAAGGGAAGCAGAUGACGACGGAGGCGGUGAACCUGCCGAUCAUUGACUUGUCCUCAUCAGAUUCCAUCUCCUCUGCCAAUUCAAUCCGUCAGGUUCUCUUCUCUGUGUCCUCCUUCUUCCAAUAGUACACCAAAUUUCAUUGAAAAUUUGUUUUUCAUUCAUCUAAUUUAGCUUGAAUUAUACUUGUGUGUGCAUAUAUCCCUGUAGUUAUUGCUUAUUUGUAUUUGCACAGGCAUGCAUAGAAUAUGGUUUCUUCUACCUGGUGAAUCAUGGCGUCGAGGAAGAGCUGUUUGCAGAGGUGUUCGAUCGGAGCCGCAACUUCUUUUCGCUUCCUCUGGAAGAUAAGUUGAAAUUGACUCGCAAGCACCACAGAGGCUACACCCCACUAUUUAUGGAGAAUCUCGACUUCGCUUCCAGCUCCAAAGGUUGCUAAUCAUCCUACCAUUUCAUCUUUUCUUUAAAUCUUUUUGCUUACAAAGUUAAAAACUUAAAAUUUGGUGAUUUAAGUGUAAAUAUAAGAAACCAAAUGGAGGGAGGUUAAACUAAAAAAUGGCUUAGUGUACAAUGAUCAUACCAUGCCUGGUUUCUGCAAUUGUUUUGAAAUGAUCAGGAUAAGUAAUAAGUUGGAUAUUCCAUUGUUAUUUACUUGUUUUUUUUUUCUUAAUAAAUAAAAUAUGUAGUUCAUUGAUGAAUUCAUUAUAAUGUACAUAACAUGUUGGUCGAAGUUACAAUUUGUUGCGUUAAUGUUCUUGUUAACAUUCUGAAUAGUGAUAUUCGAAAAAUGUUUCAGGUACUAUCUAUUAAACUGUUGUGCUUGGUUGCCUUACUUUAGUUUUCAAGUUGUGCUGAAUGGAAAAGGGGAAAGGAUGUUGAUUUUAUCUCUUUUGGGUCGGCUGUGAAAUAGGUGACUCGAAAGAGAGUUUUUAUGUUGGCUCUUUAGAUGACCCAACUCUGAUUAAUUUGAACCAAUGGCCUCCAGAAGGUAUGGGAGCUAUUUUCAAAUGUUAAGUGUGGUAGCUUGCCUGACAAUGAAAUUUUUGAUGUUGAGUACCGUAUUACAUUUGAUUACGUCAUAAUUUCUUAAUUUUUCGUUGAGGAGAAAAUGUACAGAUAUCCUGCCAUCUUGGAGGCCUGCAAUGGAAUUGUACUAUAGAAAAGUCCUGUAAGUUCUAUUCUCCGUUGUAACAAUUUACUUCCCAGCAUUCUGCAUUUAGUAAAGUAAGAACUGUUGUUCAGGAAUGAUAAUUGAUAGUUUUUUAGGAGCUUUUCAUUAUAAACGUAUAUGUAUACAUAUGAAGGGUAGUGCUAUUCACACACCCUUUUUUACCUCCCAUACACCCUUGUCAAUUUUUGUCCAUUGAUCUUCUUCAAUUCAUUCGAUCCAAUGGCCGGAAAUUGAGAGGGGUGUGUGGAUAGCACCACCCAUCUACGAAUUUCUGGUGUUGGAUAUGCUGUCUCAGGUCUGCUGGAAAAAGAUUAAUCUCUCUCUGAUUGCCCUGGCUUUAAACCUGGAUGAGGACUUUUUCGAGAAAGUGGGGGCACUGAAUAAACCAAGGGGUCUUCUUCGACUUUUGCACUAUCCAGGUGUAGUAGCACUCUUCAGCUAAAAUAUAGCACUCCUUUUCUUUUCUUGUGUUCGUAAUUUAUUGAAUAAUAUUUCUUAUAUGUUUGAUCUUCUGUAUUUUAUUGUUUUUUUUUUUUCCUUCGCUUUCAUGGUUUUGGUAUGCAUGAUUUCAGGUGAGCUGGGAUCAACUGACGAAGAAAUAUAUGGUGCUUCUGCUCAUUCAGAUUAUGGCAUGGUCACUCUCCUUGCAUCCAAUGGAGUUCCUGGACUUCAGGCAUGCUUUUUGUUUGUUAGAUUUUGUUAGCACCGAACACCUAGUGGUUCCCUUUCAAGCUCAAUUAUGAUAUUCUUUUCUGUGACUUCUUGUUAACAAUUGACAGGUUUGUAGGGACAAAUCUAAGCAACCUCGAAUCUGGGAAGAUGUUCUUCACAUAGAUGGGUAAAUUCAAGAUCUUGAAUUUUCAUGAAACAAUGAUAUGAUUGUUAAAAUAAUUUUGUGCCCUUGUAUUCUUCAAUCAUUUAUGUGGAAGACCCUAUACAACAAUGUAAUGCAAUAUGAUGUUUAAAUAUGGAAAUGCUUCCUCAAAAAAGAAAAAUAUGGAUAUGGAGUUCCAUUCACUUUGUUAGAUAGAGAACAUUUAGGUCAUGAGGUUAAAAGUUCAGAGCUCGCUAUAGCUGUGUUACUUUUAUACCAUUCAUUAGAAACAGUGUUUUGUUUUGGUUUUCCUACGGGCAUCUUACAUGUUUACUAGAGUGCGUUUGUGAAUAACCGAACGGUAACUUUGUCCUUCUGAUGGUAUUAAAAAAAUUUGAAUCUCUAGGGCAUUCAUUGUCAACAUUGGGGACAUGAUGGAGAGGUGGACUAAUUGUUUGUUCAGGUAAUUUUUCAUUUUAUUAACUUUGAGGUUAUUUUCUUCUUACAGUGGUUAUACAUGUUUUAAAAUUUAGGACUCUGAGGACUGCAGACAUUUUCCCAUCUGUCAUUUAUUUGUAGGUCAACACUGCAUAGAGUGAUGCCAGCAGGACAAGAACGCUACUCCGUAAUCAUUUACCAAUUGUUCCAUUUUUAUUUGGUUUUCAUAAUACUGACUGUACUUCACAAUAAAAACGUCUCAAUAUUUGCAGGUGGCUUUCUUCAUGGAUCCCAAUGAAGAUUGUGUGGUGGAAUGUCUGAAAAGUUGUUGCAGUGAAGAAUCACCGGCAAGGUAUAAACCGCAAUAUGACUAUCCUCUUGGGUGUCAUAUUUGAUUUCCAGUUACCCUAACACAGUGCUUUAGCUUACCUCUGUCAUAGUUAGGCUUUGCUAAAUGUCAUGACGUAGAACUUGUGCUUACAAAACCGAAAAUCUUUUUGUAUGUUAUACAUGAGAACAUUGGUGGCCUGAAAAUCACCAUGCUUUCGUGUCCAACGUCCUUGUUGGUCCACUCUAUAAACACUGGUUUGGUAGCUCGAUCAAUUUACCCUGUAGAUAAUAUUUACCAAUUCUGCUUGCAGAUUUCCUCCCGUCCGCAGCGGGGACUACCUGGAAGAGCGUUUUCGGCUUACGUAUGCAACUUAAAAGGUCUGUCUUUUGCAGUUGCAGUACAUGAUGAUGCUUUUAUGGUGUGGUGAUAAACUGCUUUUAUAAUCAAAUAGUUCACAAAUCCUGGUUUCAUAAUUCCACUGGAAACAAAUUGCUAUUGUUGGUAUUGAGUUGGUGACCAAGGGGCCCAUUUGGGAUUGUCUCUCUAAAAAGCACUUCAACUCAUAAGCGCUUGUGGCAGAAGCGCUUUUAUUAUAAACAUGUUGAAAUUCUGUGUACUUUUUUUCAUGGAUUGAGAAGAAUAAUAUCGAAGGAAUUUGGAGACUGAAUUUUGGUUGCACCAUGUUUAGUGAUAUCGAGUAAUUCAACCAUGUGGCAGAUGAAAUUUAAAACCAUCAUCUCCUCUAACAAAGAGGAGAUGGGUUAUGCUAGAUCAACUGGUCAAUGGAAACACAAUCAGAUUUAAUAAUAUAUAUAUAUAUAUAUAUAUAUAUAUAUAUUUUUAAUAAAUGAUAUUAUCCAUACCAAGGGGUAGGGGAAUGAAUUAAGCCUCACACUGGGCUAUCAAUAAUGUGGUUCAAAUUCUUUUUUUGCGAGAAUCGAACUUAAGAUCUAUCACUUAUAAGUGAAGAGGGAUACUACUAAACCGUAAUACUAAGCAGCAAUAUUAUUUUUUGCUUAAAGAUGAAUAUUAAUUUUCUGUCUAGUAAUUUGGCAGGGAUUUGAACUUGCAACAUUCUUCAAUAGUAGAAAUAGGAGUACUAAUACUUGUUCCUUUUUAUAUGGCGAUGUCACAAUGUUUCACCGUAUGAACAUUAUCAUCAGAAUUGUUCAUUAUCUUUAUCAUUAUUUUAAAGAUCAUCUUUAGAAUAUUCAUUCGAUUUGAAAAUUGUUUGGUCACCUAGAUGUGUUGAACAAAUCAACGUUUAAAACAUUUUCAAUUUCAAAAUCGUUCAGUCACCCAGAUUUGUCGAGCAAAUCAAUGUUUAUAAUAUUAAGUAAUAUUAAGUAACAUCUUUGAGAUGACUAAUCGGGUCGUCAGUUAAUAACAGGUUUACAUGUGAGUAACCAAUUUUGACCCCGUAAUAAGAAGAAAAAAUAUUAUGACGAUUUUAAAAUUACUAAAAAAAUACAUAGCCAGUGUCUAUAUUGCAUGUAGAGGCUGCUGCUGCACGAGCAUCAGCUCUAUUUUUACGGUACUGGGGAACGGAACAGGUGCAGGUGGAGGGGGAUGCUCUUAUGGUGAUAUCUGCAAUCCAUAAUGCAGGUGCAGCGCAUCAUGGUCAUUAUGGCCAUCUGUUUGCGGAUACACGGCAUGUUCUUCAAAGCUUCAAGCAAUGGAAGGUUUCGUUUGGUCGAAGAGAUAUGAACAAAGCGGUCCAUCGCCUUGCAGGGUUUAGUCUAACUAUCAAUCACCCAGUUUCUUGGUUCGAAGCACCUCUUGCUGUAAUUUCAGAUUUAUUAUUGAAAGAUAGUACUAGUCGUUAAUUUUGGUGCGGAACACGAAAGAUAGUACUAGUCGUUAAUUUUGGUGCGGAACACUCUUUUUCCCUUCGAUCGGGUUGAAAGCUGCCGCAAGGUUUUUAUUGAGGCCCUCUAUAAGCACUCUACCCUCGAUUUUGUAUGUAUUUCACUAUUCAAUAAAUAUCAUACUUCAUCUCAAGAAAAAGAAAAGAAAGGUCUUUGUAGUUUCAACAUUUUGGAGCUCAAGUUUAACAUUAAAUACGUUCCUUUUAUCGGAAUGAUAAAUGCUCACUUGACAGAAAAUAAUUUUUAGUUUGUCCUCGAUGUAUCUCUCUAAUUUAAUAGACGCUAAUACCAAGGCAUCAGUGUAACAUACCACAUCGACCAAUAUAGAAGGGGUGAUGUGCCUUAUAUGUACAUGCUCCUCCUAUAGCACAAGACCUUUUGAGAACUCACUAACUUUGGAUUCUAUCAGAACUCCGAAGUUAAGCGAGUUUGGGCUACAGCAUUUCUCGUGUGAGUUCCUAGAAACAAAACCGUGAGGAAGUGGCCGGGCCCAAAACGGACAAUAUCGUGCUACGACGAAGACGGAACUGGGUUAUGACAGUCAGUGAUUGAGUAUUUUGUACUCGGAAAAGUAAUGCUAGGUGGACCAACUAUUUAGAUCACAUUUGUAAAUUAUUUGAGCACUCGGAAAUAAACAUUUUAAUCAAUAGUUGAGUAUUCAUAUAAUUUACAAAAUAUGAUUUAAAUAGACGGUUUCCUAACAUUACUCUUUACGACAAAAUAGAGAAAAUGACAAUAAGAUUGAAAUAUGAGAAUUUAACAAAGAAAUGAAGUGGUUGGUUUAAUAGAGAGCAUGCAAAGAUUUGAAACGUUCAACUCAAUUUCGAACUCACCAGUUACACACACAUAUUUUUGGGUCUCUGAUUUUGUUUUUGCAUAUUGUUAAUUCGUAAGCGAAAAGUGGUUUGUCACCAUAUGUAGUACCAGAGUUGUAUGAAGGAACAAUUAUUCUGCCAACAAGAUGUGGCAGAUAGAUCAUGCAUCCGAUUUGAAUUUCCUUAGUGUAAUUAGAGUAAUUUAGAAUGAGUAAUACUUAGUACUCACUAUUACACUCUAUGUACUCGUUUUCUGAUUUGACAUAAAAAUAUUGUAUAUUAUUUUAAAAAAUAAUAAAACCCAAAAAAAAAUUAAAUAACAUUGUAUAUUAUUUUCAAAAAUAAUAAAACCUAUAUUAAAAUAUCAUUAGACAAAAUAAAAAGCCAAAUACUCACUCAUUUUUCUCUUUCAAAAUAUAUAAUGCCCGCGAGGGUCGAGUGCUGACUGAGCGAGGGGCUAUUUUCUUUGUCGUGAGAUUUGAAAAGCAGGAGGACUAAAAGUGUAAGGAAGCAGAUGACGACGGCGGCGGUGAACCUGCCGAUCAUUGACUUGUCCUCAUCAGAUUCCAUCUCCUCCGCCAAUUCAAUCCGUCAGGUUCUCGCUCUCCCUUCUUCCAAUAUUACACCAAAACCUCAAAUUUCUCUGAAAAUUAGUUUUUCUUUUAUUGAAUUUAGCUUGAAUUAUAUUUGUGUGUGU